AACCUGACAGCCGAACAUUGAUGAAAGGAUGAUUUGAUACCAGGUGGAACGGGCAAAGGUGCAGGGGAUGGUGGAGCCCUCAGGAACAUAGGACAGUGGACGACAACCAACUAGAACUACGUUCCCAGGCAGGUGACUGCAAAACCCGGAAAUGAUGCAGGUCAUCUGUCAUUGGAUGCUCAGAAAAGGGCCAGAGAGCUGGACUUUAGCAAGCAGGAGGCAGCAGUCUGUAGCAGUCUGCAAACUGCCAUGAGAGAUGACAUCUGCUAUACAAGUUCCAACAGCCAACAUGACAGGAUGCCCACAAAGAUCUCAUUGAAGCCUAUU
This is a long non-coding RNA of Alligator sinensis (Chinese alligator), 327 nucleotides long. RefSeq lists it as uncharacterized. NCBI's taxonomy places the organism in Eukaryota, Metazoa, Chordata, Crocodylia, Alligatoridae. The transcript is spliced from 3 exons. The record is from RefSeq and is a predicted model, not a curated record.